AGAAUCAACGCUGGCGGCGUGCCUAACACAUGCAAGUCGCACGAGAAAGGGACUUCGGUCCCGAGUACAGUGGCGCACGGGUGAGUAACACGUGAAUAAUCUACCUCCGAGUGGGGGAAUAACUGAGAGAAAUCUUAGCUAAUACCGCAUAACACUUACGAGUCAAAGCAGCAAUGCGCUUGGAGAGGAGUUCGCGGCAGAUUAGUUAGUUGGCGGGGUAAUGGCCCACCAAGACGAUGAUCUGUAUCCGGCCUGAGAGGGCGCACGGACACACUGGAACUGAAACACGGUCCAGACUCCUACGGAGGCAGCAGUGGGGAAUUUUGCGCAAUGGGGGAAACCCUGACGCAGCAACGCCGCGUGGAGGAUGAAAUAUCUUGGUAUGUAAACUCCUUUCGAUGGGAAGAUAAUGACGGUACCAUAGAAGAAGCCCGGCUAACUUCGCGACAGCAGCCGC
This 457-nucleotide ribosomal RNA is filed under the name uncultured bacterium. Its description in RNAcentral is "SSU rRNA". It matches the Rfam family "Bacterial small subunit ribosomal RNA", at positions 26 to 518 of the family's 1533-position model. The record is from RNAcentral.